GUCCCUGUAGCGCAGUGGAUAGCGCGUUGGACUUCUAAUCCAAAGCCGUGGGUUCGUCCACCAGGGAUG
Non-coding RNA from Trichonephila clavata, 69 nucleotides. Lineage: Eukaryota; Metazoa; Arthropoda; Arachnida; Araneae; Nephilidae. The record is from the annotation of a GenBank genome assembly.